UAGGGAAUCUUCCACAAUGGACGCAAGUCUGAUGGAGCAACGCCGCGUGAGUGAAGAAGGUUUUCGGAUCGUAAAGCUCUGUUGUUGGUGAAGAAGGAUAGAGGCAGUAACUGGUCUUUAUUUGACGGUAAUCAACCAGAAAGUCACGGCUAACUACGUGCCAGCAGCCGCGGUAAUACGUAGGUGGCAAGCGUUGUCCGGAUUUAUUGGGCGUAAAGCGAGCGCAGGCGGAAUGAUAAGUCUGAUGGGAAAGCCCACGGCUCAACCGUGGAACUGCAUCGGAAACUGUCAUUCUUGAGUGCAUAAGAGGGGAGUGGAAUUCCAUGUGUAGCGGUGGAAUGCGUAGAUAUAUGGAAGAACACCAGUGGCGAAGGCGGCUCUCUGGUCUGCAACUGACGCUGAGGCUCGAAAGCAUGGGUAGCGAACAGG
This 429-nucleotide ribosomal RNA is filed under the name bacterium. Its description in RNAcentral is "partial 16S ribosomal RNA". It matches the Rfam family "Bacterial small subunit ribosomal RNA", at positions 355 to 776 of the family's 1533-position model. The record is from RNAcentral.